UGGAGUGUGGCUCAGUGGUAGAGCACUUGCCUAGUGUGCAUGUGGCCCUGAGUUCAAUCCUCAGCAUAACAC
Molecule: transfer RNA, 72 nt
Filed under: Fukomys damarensis (Damara mole-rat)
Lineage: Eukaryota; Metazoa; Chordata; Mammalia; Rodentia; Bathyergidae
Rfam family: tRNA
About the family: Transfer RNA (tRNA) molecules are approximately 80 nucleotides in length. Their secondary structure includes four short double-helical elements and three loops (D, anti-codon, and T loops).
Source: Rfam by way of RNAcentral